AUCAUAUUGAACCCUAUGGAUUAAGAAUGGGAUGCCACUCAAGUUCAUAUGUGUUUGAAGACUUUUGGCACUAUAGUGUAUGCGUCACUUGGAGUUUUCACUACGCACAUGUCCAAGUAACUUAUAACUUGAACAGAAUAGAUCUCAAUCUCCAGAGUGGAUAUGUUUUACAGAGAGUGCAAGGGAGAGUGGGUCCGGCUGCUACACAGUAAGCAGCAGGAUUGUACUUAAGACCAGCGUUGCCAUCGGUUCUUCACCAGUUCGUCAGCUACCUCGUGAUGCAGCCUCUUCAAUUCACGACUCUACUCACCCGCAACUCCGUUCUCUGGAUGCUAUUCUCCUCGGUAAAAUCCUCAGCUUCCUUCUGCAACUCUGUUCCCUGGACUUAUAACUGCUUACUGCACCUGCCUGCCUGCCUGUCUCCUGCCCGCUGACUUCUCUGGACUGCUAGAACACAAGAUCAGAACCCCACUCACUCCUCACUCAGCAACACAAGCCUUACCCCUCCACCUGCAAAGAUUCCCCCUGCAAAAACUUUUUCGAACUUUCCACAAUGGAGCUUUUGCAGUUUGUGUUGUGCUGUUGUCUCGUGUUGUGGAAUUUUUACGUUUUUCUAAUGUGUUUGCUGUUCUGCAGGACAUAAAAGUUAAUCUAGGAUAAACUCAUCUUAACGGAGCCAGGCCACUGAAAUAUUAUUAAGUGGAAUAAAUAAACCUUCUCCCUGUAUCCUGUGCCUUACAUGCUUUACUGACUAUAUACACAACUUGUUAUGUGAAGCAUCUAU
Long non-coding RNA from Oreochromis aureus, 784 nucleotides. RefSeq lists it as uncharacterized. The record is from RefSeq and is a predicted model, not a curated record. Lineage: Eukaryota; Metazoa; Chordata; Actinopteri; Cichliformes; Cichlidae. The transcript is spliced from 5 exons.